UGAGCCAAGUUUAGGGUUUUCUCAAAACCCAAGCAGUAUUGAACUGAAGAGUUUGAUCAUGGCUCAGAUUGAACGCUGGCGGCAGGCCUAACACAUGCAAGUCGAGCGGAUGAGAGGAGCUUGCUCCUUGAUUUAGCG
This 138-nucleotide ribosomal RNA is filed under the name Pseudomonas sediminis. RNAcentral describes it as "Pseudomonas sp. PI11 partial 16S ribosomal RNA". The stretch from base 41 to 138 matches the Rfam family "Bacterial small subunit ribosomal RNA", at positions 1 to 97 of the family's 1533-position model. The record is from RNAcentral. Lineage: Bacteria; Pseudomonadati; Pseudomonadota; Gammaproteobacteria; Pseudomonadales; Pseudomonadaceae.